GAUGAACGCUGGCGGCGCGCUUAAGACAUGCAAGUCGAACGGAACUUAGCUGAAUGUUUACAUGAGGCGAAAGUUUAGUGGCGGACGGGUGAGUAACACGUGAGCAACCUGCCUUCGAGAGUGGGACAACAGAGAGAAAUUUCUGCUAAUACCGCAUAUGACCACAGUACCGCAUGGUACAGGGGUGAAAGGAGUAAUCCGCUCGAAGAUGGGCUCGCGGCUGAUUAGCUAGUUGGUGAGGUAACGGCCCACCAAGGCGACGAUCAGUAGCCGAACUGAGAGGUUGAUCGGCCACAUUGGGACUGAGACACGGCCCAGACUCCUACGGGAGGCAGCAGUCGGGAAUAUUGCACAAUGGGGGAAACCCUGAUGCAGCGACGCCGCGUAAAGGAAGAAGGUCUUCGGAUUGUAAACUUUUGUCGACAGGGAAGAAGAAAGUGACAGUACCUGUGGAGGAAGCCCCGGCUAACUACGUGCCAGCAG
Molecule: ribosomal RNA, 483 nt
Filed under: uncultured bacterium
Lineage: Bacteria
Description: bacterial SSU rRNA
Rfam family: Bacterial small subunit ribosomal RNA
Source: RNAcentral